RNAcentral lists this ribosomal RNA (475 nucleotides) under uncultured bacterium. RNAcentral describes it as "partial 16S ribosomal RNA". It matches the Rfam family "Bacterial small subunit ribosomal RNA", at positions 28 to 523 of the family's 1533-position model. The record is from RNAcentral.
GGUGAACGCUGGCGGCGUGCUUAAGACAUGCAAGUCGAACGCAGUCUUCGGACUGAGUGGCGCACGGGUGAGUAACACGUAACUGACCUACCCCCAAGUCGCGGAUAACUGGCCGAAAGGUCAGCUAAUACGUGAUGUGAUGUCCCCUUUCUGGGGGGCCAUUAAAGGUUUACUGCUUGGGGAUGGGGUUGCGUUCCAUCAGCUAGUUGGCGGGGUAAAGGCCCACCAAGGCAACGACGGAUAGCCGGCCUGAGAGGGUGGACGGCCACAGGGGCACUGAGACACGGGUCCCACUCCUACGGGAGGCAGCAGUUAGGAAUCGUCCACUAUGGGCGAAAGCCUGAUGGAGCGACGACGCGUGAGUGAUGAGGGUUCUCGGAUCGUAAACCUCUGAAUCAGGGACGAAAGACGCGUAAGCGGGAUGACGGUACCUGAGUAAUAGCACCGGCUAACUCCGUGCCAGCCGCCGCCGUAA